This 253-nucleotide unclassified non-coding RNA is filed under the name uncultured Actinomycetes bacterium. RNAcentral describes it as "uncultured actinobacterium contains 16S-23S intergenic spacer region". It matches the Rfam family "Bacterial small subunit ribosomal RNA", at positions 524 to 776 of the family's 1533-position model. The record is from RNAcentral. Lineage: Bacteria; Bacillati; Actinomycetota; Actinomycetes.
UACGUAGGGGGCAAGCGUUGUCCGGAUUUAUUGGGCGUAAAGCGCACGCAGGCGGCCUGAUAAGUCGGAUGUGAAAGUCCGAGGCUCAACCUCGGAACGCCAUCCGAUACUGUUGGGCUAGAGGUAGGUAGAGGAGAGUGGAAUUCCUGGUGUAGCGGUGAAAUGCGUAGAUAUCAGGAGGAACACCGACAGCGAAGGCAGCUCUCUGGGCCUUACCUGACGCUCAGGUGCGAAAGCUGGGGGAGCAAACAGG